RNAcentral lists this long non-coding RNA (217 nucleotides) under Nicotiana benthamiana. RNAcentral's name for it is "long non-coding RNA (NBEN_LNC000544)". The record is from RNAcentral. Lineage: Eukaryota; Viridiplantae; Streptophyta; Magnoliopsida; Solanales; Solanaceae.
GAUUCAUUUUUAUGCAUUUGUCAAGAAAUAUAUCUGACCUACUUAAAUAUCCGUCAUUCAAUCUAAUCUAAAUAUCAUUACUCUAUUUUAUCCCUCCACAGAUUUUGCAUCAUCUGUACGAUCAGGACAUUAUACAAGAAGAAGCAAUACUUGACUGGGCUUCUGAAAAGGAAGAAGCAGAGGAGUCAGAUAAGGUUUUUGUCAAGCAAUCAGAAAA